CCGUGUCGUCGCGCUUGAUGUCCUCGAGGAGGAUGUAACCAGAUCUGCCAGAUCCGUCUAUUGCGAUCAAUGCCAAGUCGUUGGUGAGUCGACUUACCCUUCUCCGAUCGGUCGGAGACCGCGUAAAUAGUCGCCUUAAGUACUAUCGACCUCCUUUUUAUCAACAACGAACAUGAGAACACAGGAUUUAUUUAUUUAUUUAUUUAUAAUCCGAAUUCGGCGAAGAUGAAGCACGGAGCUGAAUAAGCUGCUCUAGCUGCUAUAAUGUGGUUUUAUAAUUAAUUUACUGUUAAAUUUAAAAUUUGGGGAAAUGCUAACCUGUGUCGUGUUUGUUUGGAAAAAAGGGUGGAGCGGGCAUCCAGUGUGCAGAAAGCGGUACCAUUUUAUUAUAAGGUCAGACAGCGGUGAGGGCGUAGAUAGGCUGCGGAAAUCUUGUUCACAAUGUGGAAGCAUUCUUCUUUUAUCCGACCUUAGGUGAGUAGAGAUCAUUCUCAGGAAAAUUAUAGUCUCAAGAAUUCUAUCUCUCCGUAAUAAUUUUCUAACCUUUCAUAAUUAUUUUGAUUUCAAAGUUGCACCUUGUGCAACUCUGAGAUUGGUGCUGAUGUGUUGGAGGACUGGGUGUAUUCGCAAUUUGAAGACAAUACUCAUCUCCUGCAUGCUGUUGUUCACUCCAAUGGCUUCGGCCAUCUUUUGACCGUCAAUGGCAG
This 707-nucleotide long non-coding RNA is filed under the name Carica papaya (papaya). RNAcentral's name for it is "long non-coding RNA (CPAP_LNC004032)". The record is from RNAcentral. Lineage: Eukaryota; Viridiplantae; Streptophyta; Magnoliopsida; Brassicales; Caricaceae.